This 924-nucleotide ribosomal RNA is filed under the name Cladophialophora australiensis. RNAcentral's name for it is "eukaryotic LSU rRNA". It matches the Rfam family "Eukaryotic large subunit ribosomal RNA", at positions 1 to 943 of the family's 3401-position model. The record is from RNAcentral. Lineage: Eukaryota; Fungi; Ascomycota; Eurotiomycetes; Chaetothyriales; Herpotrichiellaceae.
GUUGACCUCGGAUCAGGUAGGAAUACGCGCUGAACUUAAGCAUAUCAAUAAGCGGAGGAAAAGAAACCAACAGGGAUUGCCUCAGUAACGGCGAGUGAAGCGGCAAUAGCUCAAAUUUGAAAUCUGGCCUCUUGGGGUCCGAGUUGUAAUUUGUAGAGGAUGUUUCGGGUACCGCCCCGGUGUAAAUUUCUUGGAACAGAAUGUCAAAGAGGGUGAGAAUCCCGUCUUGGACCGGCGGUAGGGCCUAUGUGAAACUCCUUCGACGAGUCGAGUUGUUUGGGAAUGCAGCUCAAAAUGGGUGGUAAAUUUCAUCUAAAGCUAAAUAUUGGCCAGAGACCGAUAGCGCACAAGUAGAGUGAUCGAAAGAUGAAAAGCACUUUGAAAAGAGAGUUAAACAGUAUGUGAAAUUGUUGAAAGGGAAGCGCUGGCAACCAGACUUGAGCGCGGCGGUUCCCCCAACCUUCUGGUUGGGCUACUCCGCCGUGUCCAGGCCAACAUCGGUUCUGGGGGUCGGUCAAAGGCCCUGGCAAUGUACCUACUCACGGGUAGACUUAUAGGCCAGGGUGUCAUGCGGCCACCCGGGACCGAGGAACGCGCUUCGGCUCGGAUGUUGGCGUAAUGGUUGUCAGCGACCCGUCUUGAAACACGGACCAAGGAGUCUAACAAUUGUGCGAGUGUUUGGGUGUCAAACCCGGAACGCGUAAUGAAAGUGAACGGAGGUAGGAAGCUUCGGCUGCACUAUCGACCGAUCCUGAAGUUUACGGAUGGAUUUGAGUAAGAGCAUAACUGUUGGGACCCGAAAGAUGGUGAACUAUGCCUGAAUAGGGUGAAGCCAGAGGAAACUCUGGUGGAGGCUCGCAGCGGUUCUGACGUGCAAAUCGAUCGUCAAAUUUGGGUAUAGGGGCGAAAGACUAAUCGAACCAU